Molecule: non-coding RNA, 31 nt
Filed under: Rattus norvegicus (Norway rat)
Lineage: Eukaryota; Metazoa; Chordata; Mammalia; Rodentia; Muridae
Source: RNAcentral
UGUCAGAAAGGACAGAGUAAACUGCUGUGAC